Molecule: non-coding RNA, 960 nt
Organism: Sus scrofa (pig)
Lineage: Eukaryota; Metazoa; Chordata; Mammalia; Artiodactyla; Suidae
Source: RefSeq, a predicted model, not a curated record
UCGGGUUUUUCAGAGCAGCGCUUCCCCGCCAUAACAAUGCACUGGGAUGGGUGCAAUGAGCCAGCUCCUCCUGGCUAGCUGGUCAUGACAGGGGGAUUUGGUGGUGGGAAGCAGCCAGUUCCUGGCAGCUGCUGAAACCAUUUUGAGGAUCCCCCCCUUUUCUCCCUUAUCUGCACUGGCUGCCAAUUUGCACAUUCCCUUGGUAGAAGCAAAGAUGUAUCUGGACGAGCUGACGAGCUCCAAGACUAAGAACCCUGAAAAUAAAUGGUGAUGUUCCUUUGAAAUUUCAUUUUUAUAAAAUGUUGCCUGCCACAAUUAAGGAAUAUUUCUUCCCCAACAUUGUAAAAAAACAGCAAAAAGAUGAUCUCAGUUCUUCCAUCCCAUCGUCCCCAUGCAUUGGACCGAAAAAUCCACAAACGAACCCUGGUGCCAGCCAGUGUCUACCUUCACCACUGUAGGCUUUGAGGUUCUGAGAGCCUCCUGCGCACGAGGCCGUCCAGCUCGGCUGACAGCAGCCAUGGCCAGGUAGGACGCCGUCUUCCCUUUGACUGCGGGUUUAGUUAUAAGCCACCAGACAUCCCAAACCACAGUCAUGCUCGCACUCAGCUCCACCCCAAAGGCUGUUGUAGCCCCAAACCACUUUUUCCACAUGGCUGACAAACCAGGUUCCUAAGUCACUUCCAAAACUCUUGUCUUCUAGAUGAUGCCACACACAGAGUUGCCCAGAAAGUUCCUAAGGUUUAGCGCCGGAUUAAAAACAUAAUCAAGUAAAAUCCCCAUGUAUGCCUUUGCUUUUAGAAACAAGUACAGUAACUAAUAGGAUGUCAAGACAGCGUCGUUUAAAGAAAAAAAAAAAUCCCCAAACUUUUUGAGCCCAGUCUGGCGUUCAAAGCUCUCAUGGCUCUGCCCCAUGCAACUUGGAAUGUGGGUCCUGAGUCGAAGUAUCUAAUCAUUUAAUAA